RNAcentral lists this microRNA precursor (87 nucleotides) under Columba livia (rock pigeon). RNAcentral's name for it is "microRNA cli-mir-9615 precursor". Lineage: Eukaryota; Metazoa; Chordata; Aves; Columbiformes; Columbidae. The record is from miRBase by way of RNAcentral.
AGUUGGUGACCAUUUUUCUCCCAUGGCUGUAUAACCCUUUCGAUAUCCUUGGAUUGCACAGCUUUGGUAGGAAGCUGGCCACCAUCU